RNAcentral lists this ribosomal RNA (484 nucleotides) under uncultured bacterium. Its description in RNAcentral is "partial 16S ribosomal RNA". It matches the Rfam family "Bacterial small subunit ribosomal RNA", at positions 28 to 507 of the family's 1533-position model. The record is from RNAcentral.
AUUGAACGCUGGCGGCAUGCUUUACACAUGCAAGUCGAACGGCAGCGCGGGCUUCGGCCUGGCGGCGAGUGGCGAACGGGUGAGUAAUGCAUCGGAACGUGCCCAGUAGUGGGGGAUAGCCCGGCGAAAGCCGGAUUAAUACCGCAUACGACCUGAGGGUGAAAGCGGGGGACCGAAAGGCCUCGCGCUAUUGGAGCGGCCGAUGUCGGACUAGCUAGUUGGUGGGGUAAAGGCUUACCAAGGCGACGAUCCGUAGCUGGUCUGAGAGGACGACCAGCCACACUGGGACUGAGACACGGCCCAGACUCCUACGGGAGGCAGCAGUGGGGAAUUUUGGACAAUGGGGGCAACCCUGAUCCAGCCAUGCCGCGUGCGGGAAGAAGGCCUUCGGGUUGUAAACCGCUUUUGUUCGGGAAGAAAUCCUCUGGGCUAAUACCCCGGGGGGAUGACGGUACCGGAAGAAUAAGCACCGGCUAACUACGUG